Long non-coding RNA from Seriola aureovittata, 569 nucleotides. RefSeq lists it as uncharacterized. Lineage: Eukaryota; Metazoa; Chordata; Actinopteri; Carangiformes; Carangidae. The transcript is spliced from 2 exons. The record is from RefSeq and is a predicted model, not a curated record.
UGAGCAAAAAAAACAAAACAAAAAAAUGCAUUAAAAACUAAAAAUCUUUAAAAACGUUGCAGCUCUCACUUCCUCUCGCGAGAUUUCACCUACUGCUGGAAAAAUCCCAAAAUAUUUGUGUAAAUCUGCAGAUUUCAGCGUCAACUAAUUGACUAGUGAUUUUGACGGUUUUAUGUCGUCACAGCGGGAUUCUGCGUGGCGUAACAAAAAGGUUUUCCCGCCUGUUCUUCUUCCUUCCGCUCUCGUGUUCCUCCUCCAUCCAUUCACUCCGGCCAAUGGCAGCCACGUCCUGGUGUUUCCAGGUGAGUACAGCCAUUGGUUGAACAUGCAGAGCAUCAUGGAGGAGCUGGUGAGGAGGAACUACUCUGUGACCGUUUUAGUUUCCGACGCGUUGCCAUCCAUUGACUACAACAACAGCCGCAACAUGGCCAAGUUCAACUUCCUGCUUUUCAAGGUGAUGUCCAGGUCUCUGGUUUUCAGACUUUCAAAGACGUCCAAGAAAGGAGGUCUAGAUGCUUUUGACUUUGAUCCAAUGAAUGGUACCAUUAAAUUAAAAUGGUUACAAAAUU